GACGAACGCUGGCGGCGUGCCUAACACAUGCAAGUCGAACGGAAGCAGAGAUUUCGGUUUCUGCUUUAGUGGCGAACGGGUGAGUAACGCGUGAGAAACCUGCCUCUCAGUGGGGGACAACAGUUGGAACGACUGCUAAUACCGCAUAACACUUUAGUACCGCAUGGUACAGAAGUCAAAGCUUAAUGUGCUGAGAGAUGGUCUCGCGUCUGAUUAGCUAGAUGGUGGGGUAACGGCUCACCAUGGCGACGAUCAGUAGCCGGUCUGAGAGGAUGAACGGCCACAUUGGGACUGAGAUACGGCCCAGACUCCUACGGGAGGCAGCAGUGGGGAAUAUUGGGCAAUGGGGGAAACCCUGACCCAGCAACGCCGCGUGAAGGAAGAAGGCCU
Molecule: ribosomal RNA, 390 nt
Filed under: uncultured bacterium
Lineage: Bacteria
Description: bacterial SSU rRNA
Rfam family: Bacterial small subunit ribosomal RNA
Source: RNAcentral